GGCCGAGUGGUCUAGUGGUGAGAACGUUAGCCUCGUCAGCUGAAGACGCGGGUUCGAUUUCCGCCUCGGCCA
Molecule: non-coding RNA, 72 nt
Organism: Cydia fagiglandana
Lineage: Eukaryota; Metazoa; Arthropoda; Insecta; Lepidoptera; Tortricidae
Source: the annotation of a RefSeq genome assembly